AUGCAAGUGUAAGUACGAGCUCUCGUACAGUGAAACUGCGAAUGGCUCAUUAAAUCAGUUAUGGUUCAUUUGAUCGUACGUGUUUACUUGGAUAACUGUGGCAAUUCUAGAGCUAAUACAUGCGAUGAGCGCCGACCUCGCGGGAGGCGUGCUUUUAUCAGACCAAAAACCGACCGGGUUUUGCUUAACGGCUGGCCCGUGCUCAAUGGUGACUCUGGAUAACCUAGCGGAUCGCACGGUCUUGCACCGGCGACGGAUCAUUCAAGUGUCUGCCCUAUCAACUUUCGUCGGUACGGUAUCCGCCUACCGAGGUUCUUACGGGUAACGGAGAAUCAGGGUUCGAUUCCGGAGAGGGAGCCUGAGAAACGGCUACCACA
This 377-nucleotide ribosomal RNA is filed under the name Pyrosomella sp. USNM IZ 1450062. Its description in RNAcentral is "SSU rRNA". It matches the Rfam family "Eukaryotic small subunit ribosomal RNA", at positions 51 to 414 of the family's 1831-position model. The record is from RNAcentral. Lineage: Eukaryota; Metazoa; Chordata; Thaliacea; Pyrosomata; Pyrosomatidae. RNAcentral also lists the same sequence under 1 other name.